GGAUGGGAGGGCCAUAUAGCUGUAGCUCCUUUCAUCUCAUUGACUACCAGGACUGAUUUGGUUGGUCUGACUGGAUUGAUAGGUGUCCCCUUCCUCCCUUGUUGUGCAUCUCUCUGGAAGCUGUUUGCUCAGCUGGUCAAAGAGGAUGACUUUUCCCUUAAUAGAGGACCAGUCUUUGGUCAAGGGCAUACAGGUAACUACCACCUCUGUUAAAAGCUCCAAACAAGCACUCAAGAGCCUGCCUAUAUAUUUGAAAGAGAUCAGACUUUGCCUCUAGGUGGUGCCUUGAAUGGCUGUAAGA
Unclassified non-coding RNA from Cricetulus griseus (Chinese hamster), 301 nucleotides. Its record names the gene 7SK. It matches the Rfam family "7SK RNA". From Rfam's summary of the family: 7SK was discovered as an abundant small nuclear RNA in the mid-70s but a possible function has only recently been suggested. The record is from Ensembl. Lineage: Eukaryota; Metazoa; Chordata; Mammalia; Rodentia; Cricetidae.